Molecule: long non-coding RNA, 1560 nt
Filed under: Manihot esculenta (cassava)
Lineage: Eukaryota; Viridiplantae; Streptophyta; Magnoliopsida; Malpighiales; Euphorbiaceae
Description: long non-coding RNA (MESC_LNC000271)
Source: RNAcentral
UUAAUUUAAUACUAAAAAAUUUUAUUAAAAAGAGUUUUAAAUAAUCCAAACAUAACCUGUAAACCUAAGUUAUUCUUAUCCUUGCCCUAAACACAUUUUCUUUCAACGCCGCCCACUUCUCAUCUUCUCCCUCAACUUCUCCUUACUCGAGUUGCGGUUGUACCAGCACGGAAAUACAGCCUAGCAACACCUAACAAGUCGUUUCUCCCUCCGCAACGACAGCCAUACCAACACCCAACGGCAUUUCUCUCUCCGCGCGUUGUUUCUCCCAUCACUCGUUGUUAAUGCGAUCCUUACUCAGGCAUUUUGUCCAUAAGCCCACUGCACUUGUCCUCGGUGCUACUUCUCGUCUUGCUGCUCACCUUCCUUGCUGCUAGUCCUUGUCAUCAGUCACGCCGCUGGUCCUCGUCCUCAGCCACGUUGCUACUCUUUGUGAUGCUUCCCUCUAGCCGCCCGGUGAGGUAUUGAAUUAAUGCCUUCAACUGCAGAUCUGUGUAUUAUACAGUGUUAGUUAGAAUACUAUAAGAAAUUUGAAAUAACAAUGUACUAUGAUUUAAAACAAUUUAUUUUGAAGAUUGAUUUAUGAGAUUUGUGUGUUCAUAUUUCUCAUAUUGAUUUGUAUUUCUGGAAAUUUGGAAUGUGUUCGUUAAAUUCUAAGAUUUAUGGAAUUUAUUUAUUAAAAUUAGAUUUCUGAGAUUUGUGCGUUUCAUGUUUGUGGUGGAAGGCAUUUGACUUGUGUGGGUACCGAUUCGGGUAUUUAACCGGAAAAGUUAUUUUAAUUAAUUAACAUUUCACCGCAAUUAUUUAAAUUUAAUCUGGUUCGUUUGGAUUUGGGUAAUCCGUUUUGCAAUGAAAAUGGGUAAUGGAAUUUAAUUUCUAAAAGGGUUUGAGCCGGAUUCAAAUAUUAUAAAUAUAAAUGGAUUUGGAUUUGAAUACACCCUACCUAAACCUACAUAUAAUCAUCUUUUCUAAUGAUAUUUUAAUUUUGGUAAAUAAAAAAAAAAACUUCUUUUUCAAGUUAUUUUAAAGGAAACAAAAUUAAAAUAAAAUAAUUGCAGGUAUCUAGUUAGAGAAGGGAAAAAAAAAGUAAUUUAUUUUUGGAAAAAAUUUAUGUGCAAAUUCAAUGUAUAAAUAUAGGUAAUUCAUUUAAUUUUUAUAUGGAUUGACUCGUAUAUUUAUAUUUUGAUUUUGUAAAUUACCCAAUAUUUAUAUGCAUUCUGGUAAUUUAUGCUGACCGUUUUAACUUGCAACUCAAAAGACAAUGUUAGUGGAGUGCAAGUCUUGGACUCUAAUUCUGUAUUGAUAAGGAAUUUUCUUUAUCAAGAACAGUAAGAUGUUUAUUCAUGAUAACAAAUACUGAACACCUAAUUCCAUAAAUGCGAGUACACCCAUAUCAAUUACAAAUGUGUAGGCGGUAUCAAAUUCAACUAUCUAUACAUGAGAUAACCGUCUCAUUUCAGAUCAAGGGAUUUCAAGAGGUUUCUGCAGCGCUAGGAAGGUAGAAAUUUCAUGCAGAUUGGUGGGUUUAUUUUGGCCAGAGCAAGCACAGCAGCAGGAAGA